This 211-nucleotide unclassified non-coding RNA is filed under the name uncultured Mycena. RNAcentral describes it as "sequence contains ITS2". Lineage: Eukaryota; Fungi; Basidiomycota; Agaricomycetes; Agaricales; Tricholomataceae. The record is from RNAcentral.
AAUUCUCAACCUUGCAGACUUUGUUUGCGAGGCUUGGAUGUGAGGGUUUUGCUGGCUUCCUUUGUUGGAUGGUCUGCUCCCUUUAAAUUUAUUAGUGGGAUCCUUUGUGGAUGGUCGCUUGGUGUGAUAAUUAUCUACGCCGCUUGACUCUGACGCAAGACUUGUGGGAACCUGCUUAUAACCGUCUCUUCGGAGACUAUCUUUUGACAAU